RNAcentral lists this unclassified non-coding RNA (354 nucleotides) under soil metagenome. RNAcentral describes it as "partial contains 5.8S ribosomal RNA, internal transcribed spacer 2, and large subunit ribosomal RNA". The stretch from base 1 to 121 matches the Rfam family "5.8S ribosomal RNA", at positions 35 to 154 of the family's 154-position model. The record is from RNAcentral.
GAUGAAGAACGCAGCGAAAGUGCGAAACGUAAUGUGAAUUGCAGAAUUCAGUGAAUCAUCGAAUCUUUGAACGCACAUUGCGCCCGCCAGUAUUCUGGCGGGCAUGCCUGUUCGAGCGUCAUUACAACCCUCAGGCCCCCGGGCCUGGCGUUGGGGAUCGGCGGAAGCCCCCUGCGGGCACAACGCCGUCCCCCAAAUACAGUGGCGGUCCCGCCGCAGCUUCCAUUGCGUAGUAGCUAACACCUCGCAACUGGAGAGCGGCGCGGCCACGCCGUAAAACACCCAACUUCUGAAUGUUGACCUCGAAUCAGGUAGGAAUACCCGCUGAACUUAAGCAUAUCAAUAAGCGGAGGA